CUCUGAAGGAAUUGCAGAGCCGAAUGAAUCCUCUCUUCAAAUCUUCCAGAUACUCCAAACUCUCCUUGCUUGAUUUCUAGCUUUCAAAGAUGAUUCUCCUCCUCUCUCUUGCUGGUGUUUUAGGAUCCUUAAAUAGGGCUAGGGCUAGGGUGAAGGUGGUAUUUUUUCUAUGAUUUUAUUCUAUAUAUCAUUCUUUUUAUUUGGUAUAGAAUCUCUCCUCCUUUGGAUAGGCUUUAAGCAACCACCAGCCAUCUACUCCUUAUGCUGCCCAAACUUUUUGAUUUUAUUAUGAUUUCUAUAGUAAAAGAAGGAAAGGAGGCAUGGUUAAUUAGAAGAGAAGAAUU
Molecule: long non-coding RNA, 344 nt
Filed under: Elaeis guineensis (African oil palm)
Lineage: Eukaryota; Viridiplantae; Streptophyta; Magnoliopsida; Arecales; Arecaceae
Description: long non-coding RNA (EGUI_LNC054245)
Source: RNAcentral